CAGGACGAACGCUGGCGGCGUGCUUAACACAUGCAAGUCGAACGAGAAUCUACUGAAAGAGUUUUCGGACAAUGGAAGUAGAGGAAAGUGGCGGACGGGUGAGUAACGCGUGAGGAACCUGCCUUGAAGAGGGGGACAACAGUUGGAAACGACUGCUAAUACCGCAUGACGCAUAGAGGUCGCAUGAUCUUUAUGCCAAAGAUUUAUCGCUGAAAGAUGGACCCGCGUCUGAUUAGCUUGUUGGUGAGGUAACGGCCCACCAAGGCGACGAUCAGUAGCCGGCCUGAGAGGGUGAACGGCCACAUUGGGACUGAGACACGGCCCAAACUCCUACGGGAGGCAGCAGUGGGGAAUAUUGCACAAUGGGGGAAACCCUGAUGCAGCGACGCCGCGUGAGUGAUGAAGUAUUUCGGUAUGUAAAACUCUAUCAGCAGGGAAGAUAAUGACGGUACCUGACUAAGAAGCACCGGCUAAAUACGUG
RNAcentral lists this ribosomal RNA (481 nucleotides) under uncultured bacterium. Its description in RNAcentral is "bacterial SSU rRNA". It matches the Rfam family "Bacterial small subunit ribosomal RNA", at positions 25 to 507 of the family's 1533-position model. The record is from RNAcentral.